Molecule: long non-coding RNA, 1495 nt
Organism: Cyprinus carpio carpio
Lineage: Eukaryota; Metazoa; Chordata; Actinopteri; Cypriniformes; Cyprinidae
Source: Ensembl
CCCACCCAUCUUAAAGCAGAGAUUUACAAGACCCUCAUACGGUCAGUCACACUUCACAGUUCAGAGUGUUGGCCUGCAUCCGCCAAACACCAGCAGUCUGGACCAUGUCAGGAAUGAAGACGUGCAGAAAGUACUGGGAAUGGCUCCAAUCAUAGAGAAGAUGAAAGAAGCACAUCUUUAUUGGGACAGCCAUGUCGUUCACAGCGGAGAAGAAUCAAGUGAUAGACAGCAUUGUGCCUUAGCCCAGAUGGAUGGCGACCACAUGUUUGACCAAAGAAGAGAUGAAUGGACUGAGAAAAAAAAGAAAAGAAAAUAUGAAACAAGUCAACACAGCCCCCGACGAUGCCCUAGACUGGAAGAAGUGGAAAGCGAAAUGCCAAUAAGCAGACCUUGCAACAGUGCAGUCUUGGCAGGUGCUGGGUUCAGCAGUGCUGUAGUACAGUAUGUGAGCAUCUCUGGGUCACUGAUGGUGCAGUCAGCGCUGGAGAAGAAUUGGAAUGAGGGAUUAAGAAGAACUGUUAGUGCUCCUCCAUCUGUCCGCUCCCUCAGGACACGUACAUUAGAAAGACCUGAGAAAAUCAAACAGCCCCAGUCUCUGGCUCUCAUAAGCCUGAAUCCCAGAGGUCUUUAAAGAAGGAAGAUGUACGGAUGAAGAAAACAGCGAGACGGGGAAGUCAAUACUGAGAAAUCAAAAGAAAGUUUACACAGUACAGUCUGGAGGGAAGUGAUACCUGCAGUUUAAAGCUCAUUCUGGGAUCGAAGGCUCACACAUUCUGGGGACCAAGAUUGGGCAAAAUACGAUCUUUAUGAAAUGACUUUGUCUUGAAGUUCAUAAUGGAAAAUUUGAAUUGAAUUGAUCACACAGGACUUUGAAUUGAAUUUGAAUGACAGCUGAAUUGAUUUACUGAAUUACAAUUAAAAGAAAUUCAAAAAAUCACAUAAUAGAAGAACUGAAUGUCAAACAAAAAUUUGACAAAAUAUAGAAGAUUAAAUCAUUAAUUUUCACUAAUUAUGUAUAUAUAUAUUUUUUGCAACUUAUUAGAAAUACAUUUCAACAGUAUCAAAAUAUGUGAAAAAAUUAUGUUCAAAAUUUAUCAAAAAUUAUGUGAAACACACAUAAUGCAUAAAUUCGCUGCUGGAAUUAAAAGUUUGGCGUAGCUAAAAUUCUAUAAAGAAGUGUCUUCUGCUCACCAAAGCAGCAUUUAUUUGAUGAAAAACCAAGUAAAAACGGAAAUAUUGUGAAAUAUUAUUGUCAUUUAAAAGGCUGCUUUAAUAUAUUAAUAAAAUGAAGUUUAUUUCUGUGAUGCAAAGCUGAAUUUUCAGCAUCAUUCAUUAUCACAAGAUCCUUUUAGAAACCAUUCUAAAAUGCUGAUUUGUUACUCAAGAAUUAAUAUUUUUUAUUAUUAACUGAUGAAAAUGUUUUGCCUUUUUUAUGAAAACCCUGAUACUUUUGUUGUAUAGAAAGUGCAAAAUAACACAUUUUAUUUUAAAAAUU